UACGUAGGGUGCAAGCGUUGUCCGGAAUUAUUGGGCGUAAAGAGCUCGUAGGCGGUCUGUUGCGUCGGCUGUGAAAACCCGGGGCUCAACCCCGGGCCUGCAGCCGAUACGGGCAGACUAGAGUUCGGCAGGGGAGACUGGAAUUCCUGGUGUAGCGGUGAAAUGCGCAGAUAUCAGGAGGAACACCGGUGGCGAAGGCGGCAUCCUGGACCAACACUGACGCUGAGGAGCGAAAGCCAGGGGAGCAAACGGG
This 253-nucleotide ribosomal RNA is filed under the name uncultured bacterium. Its description in RNAcentral is "partial 16S ribosomal RNA". It matches the Rfam family "Bacterial small subunit ribosomal RNA", at positions 524 to 776 of the family's 1533-position model. The record is from RNAcentral.